GCGUAACGCGUGGGAAUCUGCCCUUGGGUUCGGAAUAACAGUUGGAAACGACUGCUAAUACCGGAUGAUGACGAAAGUCCAAAGAUUUAUCGCCCAGGGAUGAGCCCGCGUAGGAUUAGCUAGUUGGUGAGGUAAAGGCUCACCAAGGCGACGAUCCUUAGCUGGUCUGAGAGGAUGAUCAGCCACACUGGGACUGAGACACGGCCCAGACUCCUACGGGAGGCAGCAGUAGGGAAUAUUGGACAAUGGGCGAAAGCCUGAUCCAGCAAUGCCGCGUGAGUGAUGAAGGCCUUAGGGUUGUAA
RNAcentral lists this ribosomal RNA (303 nucleotides) under uncultured Sphingomonas sp. Its description in RNAcentral is "bacterial SSU rRNA". It matches the Rfam family "Bacterial small subunit ribosomal RNA", at positions 108 to 428 of the family's 1533-position model. Lineage: Bacteria; Pseudomonadati; Pseudomonadota; Alphaproteobacteria; Sphingomonadales; Sphingomonadaceae. The record is from RNAcentral.